Molecule: ribosomal RNA, 494 nt
Filed under: uncultured bacterium
Lineage: Bacteria
Description: partial 16S ribosomal RNA
Rfam family: Bacterial small subunit ribosomal RNA
Source: RNAcentral
GACGAACGCUGGCGGCGUGCUUAACACAUGCAAGUCGAACGGAAAGGCCUGCUUUCCCUUGUGGAUUGCGGGUACUCGAGUGGCGAACGGGUGAGUAACACGUGAGUGAUCUGCCCCCAACUUGGGUAUAAGCCUGGGAAACUGGGUCUAAUUCCCGAUAGGACUGCAGGGUGGUGCCGGUGGUGGAAAACGAUUUUCUAGUGGUUGGGGAUGAGCUCGCGGCCUAUCAGCUUGUUGGUGGGGUAAUGGCCUACCAAGGCGGCGACGGGUAGCCGGCCUGGGAGGGUGGACGGCCACAUUGGGACUGAGAUACGGCCCAGACUCCUACGGGAGGCAGCAGUGGGGAAUAUUGCACAAUGGGCGGAAGCCUGAUGCAGCGACGCCGCGUGGGGGAUGACGGCCUUCGGGUUGUAAACUCCUUUCGACCGCGAGGAAGCCACCUGGUUGGAAGGGUGGUGACGGUAGUGGUAGAAGAAGCACCGGCUAACUACGUG